Long non-coding RNA from Vicia villosa (hairy vetch), 2795 nucleotides. RefSeq lists it as uncharacterized. NCBI's taxonomy places the organism in Eukaryota, Viridiplantae, Streptophyta, Magnoliopsida, Fabales, Fabaceae. The transcript is spliced from 6 exons. The record is from RefSeq and is a predicted model, not a curated record.
CUUUUUUUCUCUCCAAAUCACUCUUUUACCGAAAUCGCUUUUUCUCCAAAUCACUCUUUUUCUUCAUGGUCAAAAUCACUUUUUCUCUAAAUCACUUUUUUCCUUCACUGAAUCGAUCGAAAUCACUUUUUCUCCAAAUCACUCUUUUUCUUCACUGAAUCGAUUGAAAUCGUUGUUUCUCCGACUGAAGUAGCUACUUCUCCGUCAUCGAGCAAACCUCUACUUCUCCUUCUUCAAUCGAAACCACCGUUUCUCCGUCAUCAAUCUAAAUCUCUACUUCUUCUUCAUCAAUCGAAAUCGCUGCUUCUCCUUCGUCGAUCAAAAUCCCUGUUUCUCCGUCAUCGAUCGAAAUCGCUGCUUCUCCAUCAUCGAUCGAAAUUUAUCCUUCUUAAUUGGAGAUCGCUGCUUCAAAUUUUGAAUCAGUUACUUUACCAUUCAAAAUUGCUCACGCAUUUCUCAAAACCUAAUACUUGAGGUAAUUGUUUUUCCUUGAAUCAAGUCUCACAUAUUCACUUAUUCUUAAAAUUUAUCUGAAAAAUCUCUUUCUCCGAUUCACAUGGUUCCUAUCAUAACAAUUCGUCGUUGAGGCAUCUCUUUUUUAUCUUCGCUACAACGGUGCAUUUUCUCUGAUCGAAACUAUCGAUAUUCAUUUUCACUGAUUUUAAGGAAAUUGUUUCGGUUGCAAAUAUUAAAUCUGUUUAAGUCAAUUUCAGAAUAUUGAGACAAACAUUAAGAUAAGACUUAACAUUGAAGUUGUAAUUCCUUUGAUUGCUACAAAGAAUGCAAAGAACUCCAAUUACAUGGAAGCGACCCUCGUUUAAGAUCUCUAACAAGGUAUGGUUAAGAUUUGAUGUUUGAAGAUUUUUCUUCAUAUUCUAUCACUUUAUAUAUGAUUUGAUUAUAUUCCUUGACAAUUUGUGCAAGACUGAUAAAACAGAAUCCAUAUAAAAGUUAUAGGGUUUUAUAUAAAAGAGAAACAAUGUAGACUUUUGACUGUGAUUAUUGUUUUAUAAAUUAUAUAAAACUUAGUAGUAACCCUUUUCCACGCUAAUACUAAAUUUGUGAUUCUAAUUAAACAAGGAAACUAGUCUUGAGUCAUGACAGAAACUAGACUUAAUGUUGUGGGCACUAUGGUUGUAGUUCCAUAAAGUUGUCCUUACAUUCACUAGUGUUAAGUGUACUGAGUCAAUCAACUCCUUUACUUCAACUACUUUAAACACAAGCAUCCAUUUCAAACCCCUUUACACAAUCCUAGAAUGAAAAAAAUGUAGAUCAUUAACAUGACACAUUAAAGCAAUAAAUUGUUUCCAUAAUAUAUCUAGAGAGGCUUAAUUGUGAUUAUAUUGUUAAUUAAUUCCUUACGCUUUGCGUGUUUUCCAUCUUCCAAUUUAUUUUUGGUCCCUUAUGUUAAAUACUUUGGCAAUAUUUAUGAAUAGUCAGUGGGGUGCUUUUGUGGAAAUAAGGAAAACCAGUGUAAAUAUCUUGCCUUAAUAAUGAUUUUGAUAUCAUGGAUGACAUCUUUCUAUUUGUCCAAUAACUGAUUUUGUUAGCAUUUGAAUAACUUUUAACAUAACAUGGUAUUGAACCUUGCUGAUAAUCUAGUGUAAUUUUAGCAUGUUUUUCCAGCAGUUUGGGUGACAUGGGAUUGUUGAGUCUACUUUUAAACGGUAUCUUGCUAUUUGGAAAUCCAUUGGCGCGAGCAUGUAUGGAAUGGGUCUGCUACGCACUUCUUCUUUGUUAGUGUCUUUUAAAGGCCUACUGUUGGGUUUUACGUAGCAGUUUGUUUUGCAGAAGCCGCGAGCAUAUCCGGAACAAGUUUGUUGCUUGCUUAUUCAUUUGUUACUGUGUAUUUGUUGAAGGUUCUCAAAGGAAUGUUGAUUAAGUAAGCAUAAGAUUCUAAUGUAUAUUAUAAAAUAAUAUUUUUAAUUCAUGUUGAAUAGUUGCUAGAAAAAUUGAACGAAAAGCAAAGACAAGAAGAGGAAAUUCUCAGUAAUUAGAAAGCUUGAUCAAGCAGAAGUUAAAAAGCUCAUAGGAAGAUCCAUUGAUAAAGCCAAAUGAAAUAUUACACGGGAGAUAUUUGUCAUUUCUUCAACAAAACUAGUUUUUUGGGCUCUAUGCAAUUAUUUCAUAACAAGAGUGGGUCAAAACCUAUGAGGAAGAAGAGGAGGCACAGUCCUCGGCCUUAUUCCAGCUGCAACCCUUAUAUUUGCAGGAUUCUCCAAUGAUGAUUCCAAUUUCUAAGAGCCUAAGUUUGAGAGCCUUAGGUGCUCCAACAAUGUUGCUCUCUUUGGCGCUACAUGAAAUCUUUAGAGGGUUCAAAGACACAACAAUUCCUACAUAUGUUAUUUGUUUGGCCAUGCAAGGAAUCUUUAGAGGGUUAAAAAAUACAACUCCUUUAAAUGUCUAAUAUGUCAUGAAAUUCAGGCCAAAUUAGAGAAUGUGAUCGAGAAGAUGAGUGGCACUACUUUGAAUUCUUUACCACAAUUUUCAGGUCCACCCCACCAGCUGCAACUCAACAUCAAUGCCUUCAAGUGGAGGAUCUCAGAAUAGGAGAAAAGUUAUAUAUAUUUAGGAGGUCUCUUAAACCGUAAGAUGCUCAUGAGUUAAAUUCUUUAUUGUUAGUUGUUUCGUUAAAAUUGUUGUAGUGUAAGACAUGCUUAAAUGUGAGUAUUUGCAAAUGUAGAGUGAGUUAAUCAAACUUGAGUAGUUCCAAUCUAUUUUGGAAACUAGAGUUGUGACAAAAUAAGAGUUGUGAUUUAUGAAGUUGAAAUAAAAUAGAAUGUGAUUUUGAUGGA